Molecule: long non-coding RNA, 385 nt
Filed under: Populus tremula
Lineage: Eukaryota; Viridiplantae; Streptophyta; Magnoliopsida; Malpighiales; Salicaceae
Description: long non-coding RNA (PTRE_LNC002853)
Source: RNAcentral
AAAAACAAAGGUGAUGCAAAUGAGCGCAGCUACAAAAGUGUUAUUCUCAUACUCCAUUGCACAAGGUAUGUACGACAAUGAAGCACCAAACCCUAAUUAAACAUUAAUAAAACAGAGUCUUUUUGUAAAAGCAAAAAGCAGUACAUUAAGCAGAAGAGAUGCAUGCAUCAGUAGCAUUAUUAGUUAAUUAUUUUAGUAAUAAUUAAUCUGACGUCGAUACUGAUGAUGUGUCACAAGAUCAUCAAGCAUCCAAAGGUCCCCAGAGUAAGGAUUAUCACCGCCGUUUUCCCUCAGACGAGCAGCCAUCUGGUCAGGUUCCAGCCCAAGAAACGACUCCAACUUCAAGAUUUGCUCUUCCAGCUCAUAAUCUUCAUUUUGAUACCCA